RNAcentral lists this ribosomal RNA (394 nucleotides) under uncultured Alphaproteobacteria bacterium. Its description in RNAcentral is "SSU rRNA". It matches the Rfam family "Bacterial small subunit ribosomal RNA", at positions 242 to 653 of the family's 1533-position model. The record is from RNAcentral. Lineage: Bacteria; Pseudomonadati; Pseudomonadota; Alphaproteobacteria.
CAGCUAGUUGGUGUGGUAAAGGCGCACCAAGGCGACGAUCCUUAGCUGGUCUGAGAGGAUGAUCAGCCACACUGGGACUGAGACACGGCCCAGACUCCUACGGGAGGCAGCAGUGGGGAAUAUUGGACAAUGGGCGAAAGCCUGAUCCAGCAAUGCCGCGUGAGUGAUGAAGGCCUUAGGGUUGUAAAGCUCUUUUACCCGGGAUGAUAAUGACAGUACCGGGAGAAUAAGCUCCGGCUAACUCCGUGCCAGCAGCCGCGGUAAUACGGAGGGAGCUAGCGUUAUUCGGAAUUACUGGGCGUAAAGCGCACGUAGGCGGCUUUGUAAGUUAGAGGUGAAAGCCUGGAGCUCAACUCCAGAAUUGCCUUUAAAACUGCAUCGCUUGAAUCCAGGA